UCUGUUACAGAUAUUUUACUGCUGUCCCACAUGGUAAGAAUUCCCCCAGAAGAUCCAACAGAAGCCACAUAAUCCCAGCCAAUAUCCUUAGAACUCCACAAUGAUUUUAUAAAAGCCGAGUUCAAGGUGUCCUUCUUAGAUUCUUGAAUCAUGACUACAAUUGUUGAUGACUUUUUUAAGUGCUGCACGUUUAGAGGAGUCGUUCAAACCCUUAGUGUUCCAGGAGACAACCUUAAUAAUGACUGGGAGGAGGAAAAGGCAGUUGCACAUCUAAUUUAAGCCAGAAUGAUUCCACAAUCACCGACUAUAGACACUAAAUCUUUAGGCAAAUCCAGGGGAAUUUUAAUAGGGAGAAUAUCUUCAUCAUUGAACAAGACAUUCAGAUCCAUCCCAUUAAUUUCUGGGACUAAUUUAGGGUCAACUUCAGUGUUGGGGACUG
This 439-nucleotide long non-coding RNA is filed under the name Cucumis sativus (cucumber). RNAcentral describes it as "long non-coding RNA (CSAT_LNC001118)". The record is from RNAcentral. Lineage: Eukaryota; Viridiplantae; Streptophyta; Magnoliopsida; Cucurbitales; Cucurbitaceae.